This 305-nucleotide ribosomal RNA is filed under the name uncultured bacterium. RNAcentral's name for it is "bacterial SSU rRNA". It matches the Rfam family "Bacterial small subunit ribosomal RNA", at positions 333 to 636 of the family's 1533-position model. The record is from RNAcentral.
UGUGUCCUACGGGGCGCAGCAGUGAGGAAUAUUGGUCAAUGGGCGCGAGCCUGAACCAGCCAAGUCGCGUGAGGGAAGACGGUCCUAUGAAUUGUAAACCUCUUUUGUCGGGGAGCAAGAGACGCCACGCGUGGCGUUCCGAGAGUACCCGAAGAAAAAGCAUCGGCUAACUCCGUGCCAGCAGCCGCGGUAAUACGGAGGAUGCGAGCGUUAUCCGGAUUUAUUGGGUUUAAAGGGUGCGCAGGCGGAAGAUCAAGUCAGCGGUAAAAUUGAGAGGCUCAACCUCUUCGAGCCGUUGAAACUGG